ACGAUGGGUCCCAAAGGGGAGGGGGCACUUGGACACACCAGAGGGGGAGACGAUUGCCGCCGCUUACUGGUGCUACCGUUUUGCCCAUUUUUCCCGAAUGCAUCGAAUUUUCUUCGCUUUUCAUCUCAGUUAGAAUUUGCUCUCCGUUGGUGGUUGCCAGACAAAGGUGCGAUUUCUCUGCGUGCGGCGGGUCGUCGAUAGUUGGUGCGUUGUAACCCUAGCAAAGCGCUUCUGGGGCUAGAUUGGUCUAGGCCUAUACGGGCUUUUUUCUCGGAAUACCUUGACUAGGUGCGUGCGGUGUGAAAUCAGCGGGAACGAAAAUCUCGUGAUUCGAGGAUUUCGGGGGUUUUUGGUGUGGCGCGCGGUGUUCGACAGUGUUCUGUAGUGCGCUGGCUGGAAGUAAUGAAAUUGAAGAUUUUUCCAGCCACUUGCAAAAUUGAUUAGCAACCUACUCGAGCGUAGACGGUGAGUCGAGUACAGGCAGACCAGUCGGAUCCGGCAAGAUUCCACAAAACGUUGCCUCAAGUGAAACUACCUUGCUGUUCUAUGUAGCAGUGAAGAUUCGACAGUUUGUGGAAGGGAAAUGUUGAAGCUGGUGGACGGUGCUUGAAGAGGAGUGUGUUUUAUUUUUCGUUGUGUAGAAGAAGAGUCGCCCUGUUGUAGGCCUGGCGGGGGUUUUCAAACAAGUGUGUUUGCCAAGUUUUUUCUUCCUGUCGUUGUUCGGUGCCCAGCUGCCGCCAUCAGAAACCGACGAAGGUGGAGCACAGAUGCAUCAAGCAAGAUGCCCGAAAGCAACAACAGUAAACCAAUUGAUGUUAGUCACGUAAUCCAAAGUGUUCAAACGUUCACAAAGUGAAACAAGCGCAAUCAAAAGGAAUUUGCUUUUGAACCACUAAAGAUUAUAGUUCACUUAGCGAAGCAAUACAAAUUCUGAAGAAGAAACACACCUAGGAAGAUCAAGUGAAACGAAAUUCGAGAAAUAAUUACAAUCAUCAGUAGAAGUGAAGUAUGCUGCCGUUCGUUUUGUCUAAUUCAAGGCAAUCAUAUUAAAGUGUUCCAGUGAAAUCAAGAAGAAACGUUCACCUGUGCGAAAAAUUUCCAUCGUUAUCAAGCAUCGCAAAAAAAAAGAAAAAUCGAAGUCAGAAAAGCAACGGGUGUUAUGUAAUUUUAAUUGGAAUCCAAGGCAUCGUAAAAACGAAAUCCGUGCAGCCGUGCCAGGGCUUUUGCACUGCUUUCUAUUCCCAUGGAUAGCUGUGAGUGAAAGUGAGGCUUGAAUUUCUCCGUGGUAGAAUUACUCGGGUGUUGGCUUCAGAGUGUGGAGUGUUGAGGUGGAGACGCAUCAUCCUUUGAAGGAGGCAUUAGGCAUAAGGCCAGCUGAGGAGUCAGACGUAAUUUCGGAGAAAAGAUUGCAUUUUCCGCCUUCAAUCCGUUUCAACUAUCAGUGAGGACCGUUAAGAUAGCGUGGAAAGGUAGGUUGUUAUUUUGAUUUAUAUGCAAUGGCACAGGGUUAGGGUUCUUUCAUUCACUCAUUCAGACUAUUUCUGUGAAAUAAAUCAGGUGAUUCAGCUUUUGAUUGAAUAUGAAAGUAAGGCAGCACACAAAUUGAUUUUUUUUAUUUAUUCUUAAUCACUUAACCUAAUUUAUAGCUCUAUUGCCCACAUGGGCACUACGUGAGCGAUUACAAUUGACAGCUGCAGUUACACUUUCUACAGCGCCUGAAUGUAUUCUAUUCUAAUUCUACUAUAUCGAACUGGUUACCUAUGUGCUGCUUUCACUUUCUACUCUGUCCACGGUAGAAGGAUGUGCACGAUGAUGUUGAUGUGUGGCUCUUGUUCUUUUUCCCAGAUCG
Molecule: long non-coding RNA, 1849 nt
Organism: Aedes albopictus (Asian tiger mosquito)
Lineage: Eukaryota; Metazoa; Arthropoda; Insecta; Diptera; Culicidae
Exons: 3
Source: RefSeq, a predicted model, not a curated record